UGUCAGCUGACCCAAGAUGGCGGCACCUGCCUUGACAAUUUGUGUUGGCGCCUGAGCGGCUUCCCAGAUACCCACAUGGCUCACUUUCUCACCUGCCACUGCGCUCAGGAGUAUGGGGAAUCUGAAGGCAUCUGCGUCACUGUCUCUGGGCACAAGGGAAGGGGCAACAGAUGUGCGUGGCAGGAAAGUAAACUCUGGGAUCUGCUUAUGCCAGAUCUUGCUCCCAACAGAUUCUUCUUGCUACUGCCGGAGUGAGCCACCUGAGUGCCAGUCUACCCUUGCCAAGACAUCCUUUAAGAGCCUCUUCACCCCAGCAGCAUUUUGAGAAGUGUAUUCCAUGAAAUGCUAAAAAUGGUUUGAGAAUAAAUGAGCUCCAUGGUCUAAUAA
Molecule: non-coding RNA, 387 nt
Organism: Microcebus murinus (gray mouse lemur)
Lineage: Eukaryota; Metazoa; Chordata; Mammalia; Primates; Cheirogaleidae
Source: RefSeq, a predicted model, not a curated record